Molecule: long non-coding RNA, 3119 nt
Organism: Musa acuminata subsp. malaccensis (wild Malaysian banana)
Lineage: Eukaryota; Viridiplantae; Streptophyta; Magnoliopsida; Zingiberales; Musaceae
Source: RefSeq, a predicted model, not a curated record
UCUUUUUUCCCCCCUGUAAAAACGUCGAGCCCUGUUCAUGUUCUUCCUUGGGUUCUUGAUAGAACCAUAUGCUUCGAUCGAUUCAUCUCCUUCGAUCCAUUGUUCUUCUUGCGAUUCCACGCCACUGCCGCUCGCUGCGCAUCGUCGCCGCAGUGCGGCUGCCGGAUGACGGGGAUCAUGUGGCGGUGGCUUGAAACCCUAAUUGCUGAGACCGGAUGAAAGUGACCUGAAACCUGGGGACGAUCCAAGCUUGUCGAUGGGAUUUCUUGGACGUGUUCCUCUACCGGAAAUUGAUUCUACUGUUGAUAAAGGUACCGCAAUCAGUCAAUUUAUAUUUGAUCCGAACAUAGUGCAUUUUGUUAGAUCGUUGUGAUAUUUGUCAUUACUAGGGUUUUGCGUUAUGAUGCUUUCCACGAAAGCUGCCAUUUUCAAUCUUUGUAUGGUAUUAGGUCGGGAAAGUUAGCAAAACAAACUUGCUUUAGGUUUGGGGUUUAUUUGGACUUGAUCAAAUUAAAAUGGCUCGGACCUGACUCGAGCCAGGAUCUGAUCCAGUCCUGACAAAUUGAUGAGCCCAGGCGCUCACCUGGGCUGCCGGACGCCCUGAUUUAGGCUGACACACCUUGAGGUGCUCAAGCCUUGCCUCGCCUCGCCUCGGCAGAGCGCCUGUUAACUUCACUGGAAUCAGCCAAUUUUUAAACCUGGAUGCGUCUCGACCACCCUAAUUAUUAGCAAGGCUGAAGAUCUUGGCAUAAUGUUACGUUUUUAUAAAUUUAUCACGGUGGUAAUAAGGGUAAAGGAGUGGAAGAGUGUUGUUGUAGCUAAAUUGACAGUGGUUCGUUGAGAAAGAUAUCAUAUAUCUUUUGCCAUUUCAAACAUAUUUUGUAAUGCUUUUUUUCUCUCUUCAACAUUAACUGAUUAUAAAAUAAUGUUGAAUCAAAAUUGCCAUAGUGUUCUGGGAAAUGAAAUAUGAUUGUGCAUUUAAGUUAUUGCCAUCGUUUCAUAUUACCCAUACAAAUAUCUUCUGACAUGUUUAAUUUUAUAAAGCUAACAGAAUGAUUGUUUUCUUGAUUCUAUCAAAUGGAACUUGUAAUUUGUGCACUCAGUGAAUUUGGUCUGGAAGCUAAUGAAUGGUGCCCUUGCUGUCCUAUGUUAUUUAUGCUGUUAUCCUAUGCACUUCUUUUACAAUCAUUUUUUUUUCUAAUUUUAAUGAAUUUUAUGCUUUUAGUUCUUUUUCAAAUUUCCAGUUUCUAAUGCUUAUUUGAGCAACAUGUAAGGUUUCUGCCUUGUAAGUAGUAAUGUAGGUACCACUUGUAUCUUUUAUAGCUAAUUUUUUAUAGUUUCAAGUUAUUUUCAAAUUCCAAAAUAUUUUUUCAUGUUUUCAUGGUCAAGGGCGAUUAUUUUUUAUAGAAAUCCAGCACUUAGUAAAGUCAUUUAGAAAAGCUCCUGAGCUAACAAAGCUCUAAGCAUUACGGACCAAGAAAUCUUGUUUACCCUUCCCUGAUCAACUAGCACCAAGUGGCAAUCCAAUGGGCCUAUUACUGGAGUAUGUUCCAGUUUUAAAGGUAACAAUAUGAGCACAGGUGGAAGUUAACAUGGUUUAGAGCUUGGCAUAAUGCUACAUUUUUAUAAAUUUUGUGCCCAAGUAGUUGAUAUGAAUUACAGGAGACUCAUGGCCCAGAUAAUGUGGAACCCUCAAGAGAGAAAGUUGACGCAGGCUACAUUUUUUUUUUCCCAUCAGCUUCAUGAUUUUUUCAUUUGCAUUAUUAUGAAAUAAGGUAUCUAAGAAGGCUCCCUACAAACAGGAAGAGGGCCACAAUCACUGUUCUGUAGGGGGGCCCUUCUCAUCAAAGGCAGAAAAUGCAAUAUGAUCAUGGAGUCAUACUAUGUUACUAAAAUUUUCUGGAAUGUUGCUCUAUGGAUGACAAGAACUUUGCAAAUCAUUUUCACCUUGGAAUGAUGUUUUUGUUGCCGGCUUUUCAAUUAGUUAAUUCCAUGCUUUAAAUAUUGCUGCCAUUUCAUCUAAAUCUGACAAGUCAUCUGAUAUUCGGAGAAGGUUCUUGCCAUGGAAAGCUAACAUGAUUCUGUUGAUUUGCAUGAGAUGAAUGAUGAACUGAGUUGCGAGUCCCAGAGUCGUUGCUUUUUCUUUAUAUCUGUGGACUGGUCCAGGUAAUGUUAUGAACAUGAACUUAGUGAAGUAAAUAGUAUCAAAGCUACUGAGGUGCGUGCUUCUGAUAUGGCUAGGUUUAAGGUUCUUGAUAACUUGUCCCCUGGUUGCAGGAAGGAUGGCUGAAGCUUCUGAAGUUGGUUUGCUUGGGAUCUGUUGAGUUAUAUAUGGCCCUCUUUUAUAUGUUGGAAAUGGUUCUGGCUCAAAAAUUUUUUAUGGCAAAAUACACUUCCAUUUUCUGAAUGAGAAUGAACAGCCUUGAUCAGUAAAUAUGGCUGUAGAAUUUUAGAAAUGAUCAGUAAUGAAUUGACUCAUAAGAGCUACAUCGAUGAGCAUAGCUCCUGAUUAUAUGGUUUGCUGAAGAAUCUGAUUUGUGUAUAGCUGGUGAGUUUCUUUACUGUUCAUACAGCAUGCAGGUUGCAAAGCCUCUGCAUAUGGUUCUGAUAGCCAACCAUCGGAGGGGGAGCUUAUGAUGGAAGGCACUGGCAUGGUAUGGCAGUUGAACUCAAGUUUCUUCCACCUUUCCCAUGCUUCUUGACAAGAUUAUUUUGCUUGUACAUGUCUAGACUGCAUUGCAGAAAUCUAAUUAACUACACUGCAGUUGAAAAUCUAUCAAAUGGUUAAAAUGCAUUUUGCAGUCUAUAUUGGUAAUACAAUGAUCUAUUAGAAAAAGGAAAUUAUGAUCGUGACCACCCAUGCUUUUUCGCAGUUGUCUGCCGUGACAAAAGUUAUUUCAGGCACUCUACAUAAUGUGUGUCAUCGCCCUCAUGCUUUAGGUGUGUUGUGACUGCUACUAACACCAUGCAAACUUUGUAUGUUCAACUUAACACUUUUUUCUUGUAGUCAUUUCAAAUUUAUUGUUUGUCGUUGAAUUUCUUGUAUGCAAAAAACAAUGCCUAUCGGACUACUCUUUUAAGUGUAGAUUAACAGUAAUGAAAAAUACAGUGUUUUCAUC